ACCCGGAUGACGAGUCCAAAAUAGGAUGAAAUACGCAUCUUAGAU
Molecule: non-coding RNA, 45 nt
Filed under: Trichobilharzia regenti
Lineage: Eukaryota; Metazoa; Platyhelminthes; Trematoda; Strigeidida; Schistosomatidae
Source: RNAcentral